This 609-nucleotide long non-coding RNA is filed under the name Neogobius melanostomus (round goby). RNAcentral describes it as "lncRNA (ENSNMLG00000016559.1)". Lineage: Eukaryota; Metazoa; Chordata; Actinopteri; Gobiiformes; Gobiidae. The record is from RNAcentral.
GGAAAGGGGGCGAGUCGAGCACCUUGCGCCCUGCGUCUCCGUGCGUCUCUUCCGAUUCGCCACAUUAAUGUGUCGGCGUCUGCGAUGAGGAUGAACGGCGCCGCUGCGUGAGGAGGAGAGAGGAGGGAAAGAGAGGAAGCAGCGUAAAGUCCGUUCAAACCCGGCCACUCGCCUCGUGUCUCUUCGCAAAGUGUUUCACGCCGUCGUUCCGCUGCGUUUUGUGGCUUUGGCGUCUUUCUCCUCUGCGCCUUAGCACCUGCACACCGGGCUCCUGGUCUCACAUUCCUGCGGACAGCCUUCUUAACGACCUCGUGGCAUCAAACAAGGUCCAGGAUGUGGCGAGGCCGGUUUGCUGCAGGUCACUGUGUCCUUGUGUCUCUGCUGCUGGUCUGUUUUGACUCAGGCGCAGUCUCUACAGUCGUAAACAUGAGACGGGUCACUCAUCCUACAGUAACAGAGCAGCUGGCAGGGAAAGCUGUGCUGCCCUGUGUGCUCACGCUGCAGCCCAGCUCCAGCGACGAUGCUCCCCACCUCGUGUGGACUCGAGUCAGGCUGCCAGCCGAUGGCCAAGGCCCCCUCUGGAGCAGGUGGUUCUCACCGCUAAAGGUA